This 503-nucleotide ribosomal RNA is filed under the name uncultured bacterium. RNAcentral's name for it is "partial 16S ribosomal RNA". It matches the Rfam family "Bacterial small subunit ribosomal RNA", at positions 30 to 523 of the family's 1533-position model. The record is from RNAcentral.
AUUGAACGCUGGCGGCAGGCUUAACACAUGCAAGUCGAGCGGGGUGAUGGUGCUUGCACUAUCACUUAGCGGCGGACGGGUGAGUAAUGCUUAGGAAUCUGCCUAUUAGUGGGGGACAACAUCUCGAAAGGGAUGCUAAUACCGCAUACGUCCUACGGGAGAAAGCAGGGGAUCACUUGUGACCUUGCGCUAAUAGAUGAGCCUAAGUCGGAUUAGCUAGUUGGUGGGGUAAAGGCCUACCAAGGCGACGAUCUGUAGCGGGGCUGAGAGGAUUAUCCGCCACACUGGGACUGAGACGCGGCCCCGACUCCUACGGGAGGCAGCAGUGGGGAAUAUUGGACAAUGGGGGGAACCCUCAUCCAGCCAUGCCGCGUGUGUGAAGAAGGCCUUAUGGUUGUAAAGCACUUUAAGCGAGGAGGAGGCUCUUUUGGUUAAUACCCAAGAUGAGUGGACGUUACUCGCAGAAUAAGCACCGGCUAACUCUGUGCCAGCCGCCGCCGUAA